CCCUUAGAUGUUCUGGGCUGCACGCGCGCUACACUGAUACUUUCAGCGAGUCCACCACCUUGCCUGGGAGGGUGGGGUAACCUCUGGAAAGUGCAUCGUGAUGGGGAUCGAUUAUUGUAAUUAUUAAUCUUCAACGAGGAAUUCCUAGUAAGCAUGUGUCAUCAGCCCGUGCUGAUUACGUCCCUGCCCUUUGUACACACCGCCCGUCGCUACUACCGAUUGAACGGUUUAGUGAGGGCCUCGGAUUGGUCUCGGCCCGCUCUUUACCGGGCGGCGCCGCUGGUCGAGAAGACGCUCGAACUUGAUCGUUUAGAGGAGGUAAAAGUCGUAACA
This 333-nucleotide ribosomal RNA is filed under the name uncultured eukaryote. RNAcentral's name for it is "partial 18S ribosomal RNA". It matches the Rfam family "Eukaryotic small subunit ribosomal RNA", at positions 1470 to 1796 of the family's 1831-position model. The record is from RNAcentral.